This 301-nucleotide ribosomal RNA is filed under the name uncultured bacterium. Its description in RNAcentral is "partial 16S ribosomal RNA". It matches the Rfam family "Bacterial small subunit ribosomal RNA", at positions 509 to 807 of the family's 1533-position model. The record is from RNAcentral.
CAGUCGCCGCGGUAAUACGAAGGGUGCGAGCGUUAAUCGGAAUUACUGGGCGUAAAGCGUGCGCAGGCGGUUAUAUAAGACAGAUGUGAAAUCCCCGGGCUCAACCUGAGACCUGCGUUUGUGACUGUAUAGCUAGAGUACGGUAGAGGGGGAUGGAAUUCCGCGUGUAGCAGUGAAAUGCGUAGAUAUGCGGAGGAACACCGAUGGCGAAGGCAAUCCCCUGGACCUGUACUGACGCUCAUGCACGAAAGCGUGGGGAGCAAACAGGAUUAGAUACCCCCGUAGUCCCUGUCUCUUAUAC